AGGACGAACGCUGGCGGCGUGCCUAACACAUGCAAGUCGAGCGAGGAGAUUCCUCGGGAUGAUCCUAGCGGCGGACGGGUGAGUAACACGUGGGCAACCUGCCUCAUAGAGAGGAAUAGCCUUCCGAAAGGGAGAUUAAUACCUCAUAACAUUGCAGUUUCGCAUGAAACAGCAAUUAAAGGAGCAAUCCGCUAUGAGAUGGGCCCGCGGCGCAUUAGCUAGUUGGUGAGGUAACGGCUCACCAAGGCGACGAUGCGUAGCCGACCUGAGAGGGUGAUCGGCCACAUUGGGACUGAGACACGGCCCAGACUCCUACGGGAGGCAGCAGUGGGGAAUAUUGCACAAUGGGGGAAACCCUGAUGCAGCCAACGCCGCGUGAGUGAUGACGGCCUUCGGGUUGUAAAGCUCUGUCUUCAGGGACGAUAAUGACGGUACCUGAGGAGGAAGCCACGGCUAACUACGUGCCAGCAGCAGC
RNAcentral lists this ribosomal RNA (475 nucleotides) under uncultured bacterium. RNAcentral's name for it is "bacterial SSU rRNA". It matches the Rfam family "Bacterial small subunit ribosomal RNA", at positions 26 to 518 of the family's 1533-position model. The record is from RNAcentral.